UUCCAAGGAAUCAUAAAUCAUGCCAAAGCCAGUGGUCUUGCCACCACCAAAGUGGGUUCUGAAUCCAAACACAAAGAUGACAUCAGGUGUGGUCUUAUACAUUUUGGCUAGUUUUUCCCGAAUUUCUGUCUUGGGUACUGUUGCCUUCCCAGGGUGAA
Myotis myotis is the source of this 158-nucleotide long non-coding RNA. RefSeq lists it as uncharacterized. NCBI's taxonomy places the organism in Eukaryota, Metazoa, Chordata, Mammalia, Chiroptera, Vespertilionidae. The transcript is spliced from 3 exons. The record is from RefSeq and is a predicted model, not a curated record.